This is a long non-coding RNA of Folsomia candida, 257 nucleotides long. RefSeq lists it as uncharacterized. Lineage: Eukaryota; Metazoa; Arthropoda; Collembola; Entomobryomorpha; Isotomidae. The transcript is spliced from 3 exons. The record is from RefSeq and is a predicted model, not a curated record.
AAAUAUUCCAAGCAGAAUUGCUUGUCAGAAUGUUUCUCAAAAAAAGUUACCGAAGCCUGCAACUGUACAAUGGUCACUUAUCCGGGAAAACCUGGAUAUAGAUUGUGUACAGUGAACGAAAUGAAAACCUGCGUCCAUGAGCAAGAACAAACCUUAUUCAAGGAAGGACUUGCAACGAAAUGUCAAGAAUGUCGUCCAAAUUGUCGGGAUACAAAAUACGAGAUGAAGAUAUCUUCGAGCCCCAUGUCCGAGACCAC